RNAcentral lists this ribosomal RNA (553 nucleotides) under Aspergillus sp. RNAcentral's name for it is "partial large subunit ribosomal RNA". It matches the Rfam family "Eukaryotic large subunit ribosomal RNA", at positions 100 to 668 of the family's 3401-position model. Lineage: Eukaryota; Fungi; Ascomycota; Eurotiomycetes; Eurotiales; Aspergillaceae. The record is from RNAcentral.
GGCAAGAGCUCAAAUUUGAAAGCUGGCCCCCUCGGGGUCCGCGUUGUAAUUUGCAGAGGAUGCUUCGGGUGCAGCCCCCGUCUAAGUGCCCUGGAACGGGCCGUCAUAGAGGGUGAGAAUCCCGUCUGGGACGGGGUGUCUGCGUCCGUGUGAAGCUCCCUCGACGAGUCGAGUUGUUUGGGAAUGCAGCUCUAAAUGGGUGGUAAAUUUCAUCUAAAGCUAAAUACUGGCCGGAGACCGAUAGCGCACAAGUAGAGUGAUCGAAAGAUGAAAAGCACUUUGAAAAGAGAGUUAAACAGCACGUGAAAUUGUUGAAAGGGAAGCGUUUGCGACCAGACUCGCCCGCGGGGUUCAGCCGGCAUUCGUGCCGGUGUACUUCCCCGUGGGCGGGCCAGCGUCGGUUUGGGCGGCCGGUCAAAGGCCCUCGGAAUGUAUCACCUCUCGGGGUGUCUUAUAGCCGAGGGUGCAAUGCGGCCUGCCCGGACCGAGGAACGCGCUUCGGCUCGGACGCUGGCGUAAUGGUCGUAAAUGACCCGUCUUGAAACACGGACCA